GGGGCAGCGGGGAGUGAGGCUUGCCUUACUCUGCCGGCGACCGGCGCACGGGUGAGUAACACGUAUGCAACCUACCCUUUACAGCGGGAUAACCGGAAGAAAUUUCGCCUAAUACCGCAUAUACUCCUUGGGAGGCAUCUUCCGAGGGGGAAAGAAUUUCGGUGAAGGAUGGGCAUGCGUCGCAUUAGUUAGUUGGCGGUGUAACGGACCACCAAGACGACGAUGCGUAGGGGUUCUGAGAGGAAGGUCCCCCACACUGGUACUGAGACACGGACCAGACUCCUACGGGAGGCAGCAGUGAGGAAUAUUGGUCAAUGGCCGAGAGGCUGAACCAGCCAAGUCGCGUGAGGGAAGAAUGUCCUAUGGAUUGUAAACCUCUUUUGUCAGGGAGCAAAGUCACCCACGUGUGGGUGUUGGAGAGUACCUGAAGAAAAAGCAUCGGCUAACUCCGUGCCAGCAGCCGCGGUAAUACGGAGGAUGCGAGCGUUAUCCGGAUUUAUUGGGUUUAAAGGGUGCGUAGGCGGGUUAUCAAGUCAGCGGUAAAAUCGUGGAGCUCAACUCCAUCCAGCCGUUGAAACUGAUGAUCUUGAGUGGGCGAGAAGUAUGCGGAAUGCGUGGUGUAGCGGUGAAAUGCAUAGAUAUCACGCAGAACUCCGAUUGCGAAGGCAGCAUACCGGCGCCCGACUGACGCUGAAGCACGAAAGCGUGGGUAUCGAACAGGAUUAGAUACCCUGGUAGUCCACGCAGUAAACGAUGAAUACUAAUUGUGUGCUCCGAAUGAGGAGUGCGUGAUACAGCGAAAGCGUUAAGUAUUCCACCUGGGGAGUACGCCGGCAACGGUGAAACUCAAAGGAAUUGACGGGGGCCCGCACAAGCGGAGGAACAUGUGGUUUAAUUCGAUGAUACGCGAGGAACCUUACCCGGGCUCAAACGCAGGAGGGAUGUUUUUGAAAGGAGGCAGCUCUACGGAGUCUCCUGCGAGGUGCUGCAUGGUUGUCGUCAGCUCGUGCCGUGAGGUGUCGGCUUAAGUGCCAUAACGAGCGCAACCCCUACCGCCAGUUGCCAACGGGUAAAGCCGGGAACUCUGGCGGGACUGCCGGCGCAAGCUGUGAGGAGGGCGGGGAUGACGUCAAAUCAGCACGGCCCUUACGUCCGGGGCGACACACGUGUUACAAUGGCAGGUACAGCGGGAAGCCACUUGGCGACAAGGCGCGGAACCCGAAAACCUGUCUCAGUUCGGAUUGGAGUCUGCAACCCGACUCCAUGAAGCUGGAUUCGCUAGUAAUC
Molecule: ribosomal RNA, 1287 nt
Filed under: uncultured bacterium
Lineage: Bacteria
Description: partial 16S ribosomal RNA
Rfam family: Bacterial small subunit ribosomal RNA
Source: RNAcentral